RNAcentral lists this ribosomal RNA (429 nucleotides) under Actinomycetes bacterium. RNAcentral's name for it is "Actinobacteria bacterium partial 16S ribosomal RNA". It matches the Rfam family "Bacterial small subunit ribosomal RNA", at positions 355 to 776 of the family's 1533-position model. The record is from RNAcentral. Lineage: Bacteria; Bacillati; Actinomycetota; Actinomycetes.
UAGGGAAUCUUCCGCAAUGGGCGAAAGCCUGACGGAGCAACGCCGCGUGAGUGAUGAAGGUCUUCGGAUCGUAAAACUCUGUUAUUAGGGAAGAACAAAUGUGUAAGUAACUAUGCACGUCUUGACGGUACCUAAUCAGAAAGCCACGGCUAACUACGUGCCAGCAGCCGCGGUAAUACGUAGGUGGCAAGCGUUAACCGGAAUUAUUGGGCGUAAAGCGCGCGUAGGCGGUUUUUUAAGUCUGAUGUGAAAGCCCACGGCUCAACCGUGGAGGGUCAUUGGAAACUGGAAAACUUGAGUGCAGAAGAGGAAAGUGGAAUUCCAUGUGUAGCGGUGAAAUGCGCAGAGAUAUGGAGGAACACCAGUGGCGAAGGCGACUUUCUGGUCUGUAACUGACGCUGAUGUGCGAAAGCGUGUGGAUCAAACAGG